UCAAAAGACAAAGAGCGUAUGGUGGAUACCUAGGCACUCAGAGACGACGAAGGGCGUGGUUACCGACGAAACCCUCCGAGAAGCUGGAAGCAAGCAAUGAUCCGGAGAUUCCCGAAUUGGGCAACCAAUAAAACGUGCAACUGAAUUCAUAAGUUGUAACGAGUCAACCUAGUGAAUUGAAACAUCUUAGUAGCUAGAGGAAAAGAAAGCAAACGCGAUUCCCUGAGUAGUGGCGAGCGAAAAGGGAACAGCCUAAACCGACAUUAAGUCGGUGUUGUGGGACCAGUAAAUAAGUAAAAAUUUUGCUUAAAUGAAGCAGCUGAAUACUGCACCAAAGAUGGUGAAAGUCCAGUAAUUUAAAAGCAAAUAAUACAAAAUGGAUAUCCCAAGUAGCAUGGGGCACGUGAAAUCCCGUGUGAAUCUACGAGGACCACCUCGUAAGGCUAAAUACUCCUGAGUGACCGAUAGUGUACUAGUACCGCGAGGGAAAGGUGAAAAGAACCCCCUUAGGGGAGUGAAAUAGACCAUGAAACCGUAUGCUUACAAGCAGUGGAAGGUGUAAAGUGCUGACCGCGUGCCUGUUGAAGAAUGAGCCGGCGACUUAUAAAGAGUGGCUUGGUUAAGACAUCAAGUCGAAGCCGUAGCGAAAGCGAGUCUGAAUAGGGCGAAUUCGUCACUUUUUAUAGACCCGAACCCGGGUGAUCUAACCAUGACCAGGAUGAAGCUUCGGUGAAACGAAGUGGAAGUCCGAACCGACCGAUGUUGAAAAAUCGGCGGAUGAGUUGUGGUUAGGGGUGAAAUGCCAAUCGAACUCGGAGCUAGCUGGUUCUCCCCGAAAUGCGUUGAGGCGCAGCGGUGAAAGAAAAAAGUUUAGGGGUAAAGCACUGUUUCGGUGCGGGCUGCGAGAGCGGUACCAAAUCGUCGCAAACUCAGAAUACUAAACUGUAAAUUCACCAGUGAGACAGUGGGGGAUAAGCUUCAUUGUCGAAAGGGAAACAGCCCAGAUCCACAGCUAAGGCCCCAAAAUGACGGCUGAGUGGCAAAGGAGGUGAGAGUGCAGAAACAACCAGGAGGUUUGCCUAGAAGCAGCCACCCUUAAAAGAGUGCGUAAUAGCUCACUGGUCAAGCGCUCUUGCGCCGAAAAUGAAUGGGACUAAGCCGUCUGCCGAAGCUUGGAGACCUUUUUAGGUCGGUAGGGGAGCGUUCCGCACUAGGGUGAAGUUAAUACGGAAGUAUUGAUGGACGAAGCGGAAGUGAGAAUGUCGGCUUGAGUAACGCAAACAUUGGUGAGAAUCCAAUGCCCCGAAAACCUAAGGGUUCCUCCCCAAGGUUCGUCCAAGGAGGGUGAGUCAGGUCCUAAGGCGAGGCCGAAAGGCGUAGUCGAUGGAAAACAGGUUAAAAUUCCUGUACUAUAUAAAAGUGCGUACCGAGGGACGAAGAAGGCUAAGUGAGCUAAAUUUUGGAUUUUAGUGCAAGUGGACAAUGCGUCGAUAAAAAGAAAAAAAACUUUUUAGAGCAAAGUCACAAGUCGACAACUUAUUUUUCGAAAUAAGUUGUUUCACGUACGUCAUACUUCCAAGAAAAGCUCGUACUACGGAUGACUUGUAUAUACCUGUACCCAAAACCGACACAGGUAGGUAAGUAGAGAAUACUAAGGGGCGCGAGAUAACUCUCUCUAAGGAACUCGGCAAAAUGGCCCCGUAACUUCGGGAGAAGGGGUGACGACAUUUUAAAUGUCGCCCGCAGUGACCAGGCCCAGGCGACUGUUUACCAAAAACACAGGUCUCCGCAAAAUCGUAAGAUAAAAUAUGGGGGCUGACGCCUGCCCAGUGCCGGAAGGUUAAGGAAGUCGGUCAGGGCGCAAGCCUAAAGCUGGCGACUGAAGCCCCGGUGAACGGCGGCCGUAACUAUAACGGUCCUAAGGUAGCGAAAUUCCUUGUCGGGUAAGUUCCGACCCGCACGAAAGGCGUAACGAUCUGGAUGGUGUCUCAGAGAGAGACUCGGCGAAAUAGGAAUGUCUGUGAAGAUACGGACUGCCUGCACCUGGACAGAAAGACCCUAUGAAGCUUUACUGUAGCCUGUAAUUGGCUCCGGGCUGUGUUUGCGCAGGAUAGGUGGGAGGCUUUGAGAUUGCCCUUGUGGGGGCAGUGGAGCCAACGGUGAGAUACCACUCUAACACAGCUAGGAUUCUAACUUGGCGCCGUAAUCCGGCACGAGAACAGUUGCAGGUGGGCAGUUUGACUGGGGCGGUCGCCUCCUAAACGGUAACGGAGGCGCGCAAAGGUUCCCUCAGCACGCUUGGAAACCGUGCAUAGAGUGUAAAGGCAUAAAGGGAGCUUGACUGCAAGAGCGACAACUCAAGCAGGGACGAAAGUCGGCCUUAGUGAUCCGACGGCACUGAGUGGAAGGGCCGUCGCUCAACGGAUAAAAGUUACUCUAGGGAUAACAGGCUGAUCUCCGCCAAGAGUUCACAUCGACGCGGAGGUUUGGCACCUCGAUGUCGGCUCAUCGCAACCUGGGGCGGAAGUACGUCCCAAGGGUUGGGCUGUUCGCCCAUGAAAGCGGUACGUGAGCUGGGUUCAGAACGUCGUGAGACAGUUCGGUCCAUAUCCGGUGUAGGCGUUAGAGCAUUGAGAGGAUCUUUCUCUAGUACGAGAGGACCGAAAAGCCUUAUGGGUGAAGGACGUACCGCUGGUAUACCAGUUCUCGUGCCAACGGGAAACGCUGGGUAGCUACGUACGGAGUGGAUAACUGCUGAAAGCAUCUAAGUAGGAAGCCUACCUCAAGAUGAGUGCUCUCUUAAGAUCACGGUAAGACUAACCGUUUGAUAGGAGUCAAGUAUAAGGCUUGUAAAAGUUGUAGCUGAGACUUUCUAAUAGAUCGAUAGAAUU
Molecule: ribosomal RNA, 2891 nt
Filed under: Picocystis salinarum
Lineage: Eukaryota; Viridiplantae; Chlorophyta; Picocystophyceae; Picocystales; Picocystaceae
Description: Bacterial large subunit ribosomal RNA
Rfam family: Bacterial large subunit ribosomal RNA
Source: RNAcentral